AGGAUGAACGCUGGCGGCGUGCUUAACACAUGCAAGUCGAACGAUGAACUGGAGCUUGCUCCGGGGAUUAGUGGCGAACGGGUGAGUAACACGUGAGUAACCUGCCCUUGACUCUGGGAUAAGCACUGGAAACGGUGUCUAAUACCGGAUAUGACCUUCAGCCGCAUGGCUAGGGGGUGAAAGAAUUUGGUCAAGGAUGGACUCGGCGGCCUAUCAGGUAGUUGGUGAGGUAAUGGCUCACCAAGCCGACGACGGGUAGCCGGCCUGAGAGGGUGACCGGCCACGACUGGGACUGAGACACGGCCCAGACUCCA
RNAcentral lists this ribosomal RNA (314 nucleotides) under uncultured soil bacterium. RNAcentral describes it as "bacterial SSU rRNA". It matches the Rfam family "Bacterial small subunit ribosomal RNA", at positions 26 to 340 of the family's 1533-position model. The record is from RNAcentral.